ACGAACGCUGGCGGCGUGCUUAACACAUGCAAGUCGAACGGAAAGGCCCUGCUUUUGUGGGGUGCUCGAGUGGCGAACGGGUGAGUAACACGUGAGUAACCUGCCCUUACUUUGGGAUAACUUCAGGAAACUGGGGCUAAUACCGGAUAGGAGCUCCUGCUGCAUGGUGGGGGUUGGAAAGUUUCGGCGGUUGGGGAUGGACUCGCGGCUUAUCAGCUUGUUGGUGGGGUAGUGGCUUACCAAGGCUUUGACGGGUAGCCGGCCUGAGAGGGUGACCGGCCACAUUGGGACUGAGAUACGGCCCAGACUCCUACGGGAGGCAGCAGUGGGGAAUAUUGCACAAUGGGCGGAAGCCUGAUGCAGCAACGCCGCGUGCGGGAUGACGGCCUUCGGGUUGUAAACCGCUUUCGCCUGUGACGAAGCGUGAGUGACGGUAAUGGGUAAAGAAGCACCGGCUAACUACGUG
This 466-nucleotide ribosomal RNA is filed under the name uncultured bacterium. RNAcentral describes it as "partial 16S ribosomal RNA". It matches the Rfam family "Bacterial small subunit ribosomal RNA", at positions 29 to 507 of the family's 1533-position model. The record is from RNAcentral.